This 456-nucleotide ribosomal RNA is filed under the name uncultured bacterium. RNAcentral describes it as "bacterial SSU rRNA". It matches the Rfam family "Bacterial small subunit ribosomal RNA", at positions 28 to 497 of the family's 1533-position model. The record is from RNAcentral.
GAUGAACGCUGGCGGCGUGCUUAACACAUGCAAGUCGAACGGGAUCCAUCAAGCUUGCUUGGUGGUGAGAGUGGCGAACGGGUGAGUAAUGCGUGACCGACCUGCCCCAUACACCGGAAUAGCUCCUGGAAACGGGUGGUAAUGCCGGAUGCUCCAGUUGAUCGCAUGGUCUUCUGGGAAAGCUUUCGCGGUAUGGGAUGGGGUCGCGUCCUAUCAGCUUGACGGCGGGGUAACGGCCCACCGUGGCUUCGACGGGUAGCCGGCCUGAGAGGGCGACCGGCCACAUUGGGACUGAGAUACGGCCCAGACUCCUACGGGAGGCAGCAGUGGGGAAUAUUGCACAAUGGGCGCAAGCCUGAUGCAGCGACGCCGCGUGAGGGAUGGAGGCCUUCGGGUUGUAAACCUCUUUUAUCGGGGAGCAAGCGAGAGUGAGUUUACCCGUGAAUAAGCACCGGC